Molecule: long non-coding RNA, 869 nt
Filed under: Nicotiana benthamiana
Lineage: Eukaryota; Viridiplantae; Streptophyta; Magnoliopsida; Solanales; Solanaceae
Description: long non-coding RNA (NBEN_LNC029662)
Source: RNAcentral
UCCAAUACCUUUUUAAUCCAAACUCUUUUUAUAAAAGAUAAGACCUAGAUCUAAGGGAAUGAGAUUUCUUCCCUACAAUGAGAGACCCCUAGACACACAUAAAAACCGGCGGACCCUUCCAAAACUCAGAGAAUAACGAAAUCAGACCACCUCUCCAUUUGGUCAUUUGGAUUGAGAACAGAAGGAGAGCAAAACCAGGAGAAAAUCAAUCUCCUCUAGUCUUAAAUGCUUAAACGGGAGUCCGACAAUUGGAGUCAAUGUUCAAGUUUGUUUCCGGUUGAGUUUUGAUUACUUGUUCGUUAGUUUGCUGCUGUCGAUUGCCGAAAUUUCUGCUAAGCUCCGGUCGAGUUUGUCUCGGUUUUUAGUCAGUUUAUUCUAUUUUUCUUGUUCAACUAGGUUAGUUUGAGGAUUUUAUGUAUUUCUCCUUGAUUUUACAUGAAUAAUUGAUUGGAACUACUUUUGAACUUGGUGAAUGAAUCCUGUUAAAUUCAGUCACUGAUUUUAUGAGUUAGUAGUAUUAGCCUUCAUGAUCUUCGAUUAAAAGUGGACUCUGGAAUUUUGAUGUUUAAUUAUUCAGGAUUAAAUGGACGGCACGCUCUCUUGAAAACUGAAUUUAUUGGUUUCUGUCUCAUAAAAAGAGAGCAAAGAAGACAUUAAUGAAAUUGUCUUCUGUCGAGAUAAGAAUGAGUGGCCAUUGUAAAUGUAUUGAUAUUUCACUUCUAAAAAGGGAAGAUAAGUUUAGUUAUAAGUCUUAACUGUAUACUUAUCUUUUGAUUCUUAUUAUUACUGUUUUUUUGAUAGUAUUUCUUGUUCGUUUGAAUAAAUUUUCUGAAUCUCAUUUGGCUCAAUGAUUUCUCAAGUUCUGUGAU